CAUGGAAGGCCCAGUGUAUUUGGAACCUGAGACAACCAAUGUUACAGUUACAACGGCAAGCAACCAAUUCUGCACCAGUGAGUUACGAGGACCCCUAAGUAUAAUUACAAGAACAGCAAAGCUAAUUAAAAAUGUCAACACCCCCUCAGCAAUGGCUCCAGUAUGCAAGUCAACUUUCAAAGUAGGGCCUCCAAGCAUGUGCUUAUACUGUGGUGGCAUCACCUCCAAAAU
Molecule: unclassified non-coding RNA, 231 nt
Filed under: Hevea brasiliensis (rubber tree)
Lineage: Eukaryota; Viridiplantae; Streptophyta; Magnoliopsida; Malpighiales; Euphorbiaceae
Source: RNAcentral